This 312-nucleotide ribosomal RNA is filed under the name Catops fuliginosus. RNAcentral's name for it is "LSU rRNA". It matches the Rfam family "Eukaryotic large subunit ribosomal RNA", at positions 683 to 961 of the family's 3401-position model. Lineage: Eukaryota; Metazoa; Arthropoda; Insecta; Coleoptera; Leiodidae. The record is from RNAcentral.
UGCGCAAGUCAUUGGGACAUGCGAAGCCUAAAGGCGCAAUGAAAGUAAAGGUCCGCUCUCGGGCGGACCCAGGGAGGAUGGGGCACGUUACGGCGUGCCUCUGCACUCCCGGGGCGUCUCGUUCUCAUUGCGAGAUGAGGCGCACCUAGAGCGUACACGCUGGGACCCGAAAGAUGGUGAACUAUGCCUGGUCAGGACGAAGUCAGGGGAAACCCUGAUGGAGGUCCGUAGCGAUUCUGACGUGCAAAUCGAUCGUCGGAACUGGGUAUAGGGGCGAAAGACUAAUCGAACCAUCUAGUAGCUCGUUCCUUU